This is a non-coding RNA of Callorhinus ursinus (northern fur seal), 586 nucleotides long. Lineage: Eukaryota; Metazoa; Chordata; Mammalia; Carnivora; Otariidae. The record is from RefSeq and is a predicted model, not a curated record.
CAUAGAUUCGGAUGUUAGAAGCAUCAAGUCACAAUAUCCGGUGCUGAACAAUCACCCAUACUCAGAGGAAGGUCAGACCCCGCUAUGAUGCAGGUGAUGAGUCAUGCCAAGCUGCACACAGAGAUGGAAGUAGGGAUGGGACCAUUUUCCCCAAUUUGAUGGAACUCUGCUUCUGAUACGGUAGGCCACAGACAUGAAUAGCUACUGAGCACUGGAAACGAAGAAUCUAGAGAGAGUUUACACCACUGACUUCACUGACAAAGACUAGACAUGAAUGUGAAUUCCACCAAGCCAAGGACGGGCCUAUUUGUUCACUUCCCUAUUCUCAGUGCCUUCUAAAGCAGUACUCAGUACACGAAUGUACCUCUAUCCCAAGUACAAUGCAAAUUCACAAGAAUCCUAAGAAAUCAAUGAAGAAACUUAAAGUGGACCAAAUGUACCCCAAAUUGGGUAUGAUGCCAUGAGAUCAAUGAAUCUGAAGAUCUAAGAGGCGACAGAUGAGGGCUGUUUCUUCAGCCAGGGUCCAGAAAAGAAGAAAGCAUGAAGCAGAGCUUCAGCAGAACCAUGAUGAACAUUAAUAUGAGUG